UUCAUAAUUAGUAAAGAACCCUGACAUGAUUCUUAAUAGUAUGUAAUGAUGGUACUUUUAAUUACCUUUGAAAUCUUAUGGUGUUAUUUAAAUACUAUUUUCUUUAUUGAGUAUAUGGAACUCACUCCUUUCCAUGUCCCCCUCCAGAUGAGGAAGAUAGUGAGGAACUAAUCACUUCCUUACCCUGUGAAGCCUUUGAGGAUUUCAUGAAUCCAUCAUCCUUUAUGAGUGUAUAAUUGUCUUGCACUCUAAUGAGUCCAUCUUUUAUAGAAGCUUGUAAUAAAUUUUGUUUUCUGCAUGAGUAUUGUAUGAAACUCUAUUAUUAUUUUGUAAGGGAUAGUAAUUAUUUGUUCCAGCAUAUAUUUAUCUAUUAGGCACUCGUAAUUUAUUUUUAUAUUUGGCACCCUUAUGCUUUAAUUUGCAUUUGGGAUGUAAAAAUUCCUGUGAGCUAUUUUCCUGCAAGGCUUACCUGUGGUGCUUUUUCUCGUCAUUUUUUUGUUU
RNAcentral lists this long non-coding RNA (501 nucleotides) under Carica papaya (papaya). RNAcentral's name for it is "long non-coding RNA (CPAP_LNC002740)". Lineage: Eukaryota; Viridiplantae; Streptophyta; Magnoliopsida; Brassicales; Caricaceae. The record is from RNAcentral.